UACAGAGGUCCCAAGCGUUGUUCGGAAUUACUGGGCGUAAAGGGCGCGUAGGCGGCCUUCUAAGUCGAACGUGAAAUCCCCGGGCUCAACCCGGGAACUGCGUCCGAUACUGGAAGGCUUGAAUCCGGGAGAGGGAUGUGGAAUUCCAGGUGUAGCGGUGAAAUGCGUAGAUAUCUGGAGGAACAUCAGUGGCGAAGGCGACACCCUGGACUCAUACUGACACUGAGGUGCGAAAGCGUGGGGAGCAAACAGG
Molecule: ribosomal RNA, 253 nt
Filed under: uncultured bacterium
Lineage: Bacteria
Description: partial 16S ribosomal RNA
Rfam family: Bacterial small subunit ribosomal RNA
Source: RNAcentral